UGGCUCUCGCAUCGAUGAAGAACGCGGCGAAAUGCGAUAAGUAAUGUGAAUUGCAGAUUUCAGUGAAUCAUCGAAUCUUUGAACGCACCUUGCGCUCCUAGGUCUUCCGAGGAGCAUGCCUGUUUGAGUGCCCAGAAGUACUAUCAACCAACACCUUGUGUGGUGGUUGGACCUGGGGGUCUGCCGUGUCUCAUGGCUCCUCCUAAAAGUGUUAGCCUGCUGGUGAUGAACUGCUGUCGGCUUGAUAUCAAUGUCUAUGCUGCAGUUGUACAUGUGCCAUGGCUUCCAGUCGUCUUCGGACAAUGUAAUUUCUGACCUCGGGCCUCAAAUCAGGUAGGACUACCCGCUGA
Molecule: unclassified non-coding RNA, 350 nt
Filed under: uncultured fungus
Lineage: Eukaryota; Fungi
Description: partial contains 5.8S ribosomal RNA and internal transcribed spacer 2
Rfam family: 5.8S ribosomal RNA (bases 1-133)
Source: RNAcentral